Cyprinus carpio carpio is the source of this 464-nucleotide long non-coding RNA. The record is from Ensembl. Lineage: Eukaryota; Metazoa; Chordata; Actinopteri; Cypriniformes; Cyprinidae.
CAAAAGAGCGCGACAGCCCCUCGCGGACGACUGCCGCGCACAAACAAAACCAAAACACAAAAUAAAAUCCAGGCCUGGUCCUCUCUCGUCUUACACAUUCGUCGCUUCGCCCUUUAUCCAUCCGGAGCUCCUCCCUUGUACUCGAGACCGGUUACAAGCUGUUCGCUUUCUUUUUCCAUGGCCCGUCUGUCUGGAUAAUCUUGUUACGUUUCGUUUUUCCAGAGGGACAAAUUCUGCUUGCUCGAACGAGCUGUGGCCCAGUCUGGAGGUCAAGGCUAUAGUGGAGAGGAGGGGGGCUGCUCUGUCAGAGAUAAGAGAGCAGAGAAUGAUGUGGCCAAAUGGCAUGGAGAGAGAAUUGGCGGAAUUAUCUGAUAUUCCCAGGAUUUAAACUUGACUGCGAAUGCCAUCCAGCACCAAACAAGAUUAUAUUCUUUCUCUCUGAAAGGAUUUAUAAAUUGUCAACC